Molecule: ribosomal RNA, 301 nt
Filed under: uncultured bacterium
Lineage: Bacteria
Description: partial 16S ribosomal RNA
Rfam family: Bacterial small subunit ribosomal RNA
Source: RNAcentral
CAGUCGCCGCGGGAAUACGUAGGGUGCGAGCGUUAAUCGGAAUUACUGGGCGUAAAGCGUGCGCAGGCGGUUAUGUAAGACAGAUGUGAAAUCCCCGGGCUCAACCUGGGAACUGCAUUUGUGACUGCAUGGCUAGAGUACGGUAGAGGGGGAUGGAAUUCCGCGUGUAGCAGUGAAAUGCGUAGAUAUGCGGAGGAACACCGAUGGCGAAGGCAAUCCCCUGGACCUGUACUGACGCUCAUGCACGAAAGCGUGGGGAGCAAACAGGAUUAGAUACCCCCGUAGUCCCUGUCUCUUAUAC